CCCUUAGAUGUUCUGGGCUGCACGCGCGCUACACUGAAGCGUUCAACGAGUAUUUCACCUUGCCCGGGAGGGUUGGGUAAUCUUUUUAAAACGCUUCGUGAUGGGGAUAGAUUAUUGCAAUUAUUAAUCUUCAACGAGGAAUUCCUAGUAAGCGCGAGUCAUCAGCUCGUGCUGAUUACGUCCCUGCCCUUUGUACACACCGCCCGUCGCUCCUACCGAUUGUGUGAUCCGGUGAAUAAUUCGGACUGCAGCAGUGCUUGGUCCUCCGGGCUUUGCAGCGGAAAGUUUAGUGAACCUUAUCACUUAGAGGAAGGAGAANUCGUANCA
This 327-nucleotide ribosomal RNA is filed under the name uncultured eukaryote. RNAcentral describes it as "partial 18S ribosomal RNA". It matches the Rfam family "Eukaryotic small subunit ribosomal RNA", at positions 1470 to 1796 of the family's 1831-position model. The record is from RNAcentral.